AUGACGGUACUUGAGGAAUAAGCCACGGCUAAUUCCGUGCCAGCAGCCGCGGUAAUACGGGAGUGGCAAGCGUUAUCCGGAAUUAUUGGGCGUAAAGCGUCCGCAGGCGGCCUUGUAAGUCUGUCGUUAAAGCGUGGAGCUUAACUCCAUUUCAGCGAUGGAAACUACAAGGCUUGAGUGUGGUAGGGGCAGAGGGAAUUCCCGGUGUAGCGGUGAAAUGCGUAGAUAUCGGGAAGAACACCAGUGGCGAAGGCGCUCUGCUGGGCCAUAACUGACGCUCAUGGACGAAAGCCAGGGGAGCGAAAGGGAUUAGAUACC
Molecule: ribosomal RNA, 318 nt
Filed under: Aphanothece sp. GS6-1
Lineage: Bacteria; Bacillati; Cyanobacteriota; Cyanophyceae; Chroococcales; Aphanothecaceae
Also listed under: 4 other names
Description: bacterial SSU rRNA
Rfam family: Bacterial small subunit ribosomal RNA
Source: RNAcentral